RNAcentral lists this ribosomal RNA (800 nucleotides) under uncultured bacterium. RNAcentral describes it as "bacterial SSU rRNA". It matches the Rfam family "Bacterial small subunit ribosomal RNA", at positions 92 to 887 of the family's 1533-position model. The record is from RNAcentral.
CGAGUGGCGAACGGGUGAGUAAUGCAUCGGAACGUACCCAGUAGUGGGGGAUAACUUACCGAAAGGUAAGCUAAUACCGCAUACGCACUGAGGUGGAAAGCAGGGGACCGCAAGGCCUUGCGCUAUUGGAGCGGCCGAUGUCGGAUUAGCUAGUUGGUGGGGUAAAGGCCUACCAAGGCGACGAUCCGUAGCGGGUCUGAGAGGAUGAUCCGCCACACUGGAACUGAGACACGGUCCAGACUCCUACGGGAGGCAGCAGUGGGGAAUUUUGGACAAUGGGCGCAAGCCUGAUCCAGCCAUGCCGCGUGAGUGAAGAAGGCCUUCGGGUUGUAAAGCUCUUUCGGCCGGGAAGAAAUCGUGGUGGCGAAUACCUGCCAUGGAUGACGGUACCGGACUAAGAAGCACCGGCUAACUACGUGCCAGCAGCCGCGGUAAUACGUAGGGUGCGAGCGUUAAUCGGAAUUACUGGGCGUAAAGCGUGCGCAGGCGGUUGUGUAAGACAGGCGUGAAAUCCCCGGGCUCAACCUGGGAACUGCGCUUGUGACUGCACGGCUAGAGUACGGCAGAGGGGGGUGGAAUUCCACGUGUAGCAGUGAAAUGCGUAGAGAUGUGGAGGAACACCGAUGGCGAAGGCAGCCCCCUGGGUCGAUACUGACGCUCAUGCACGAAAGCGUGGGGAGCAAACAGGAUUAGAUACCCUGGUAGUCCACGCCCUAAACGAUGUCGACUAGUUGUUGGAGGGGUAAAACCCUUUAGUAACGUAGCUAACGCGUGAAGUCGACCGCCUGGGGAGUACGGCC